Molecule: long non-coding RNA, 1267 nt
Organism: Peromyscus maniculatus bairdii (prairie deer mouse)
Lineage: Eukaryota; Metazoa; Chordata; Mammalia; Rodentia; Cricetidae
Source: RefSeq, a predicted model, not a curated record
AGAAAGAAAGAAAGAAAGAAAGAAAGAAAGAAAGAAAGAAAGCCAAACAGCAGCCUGAAGACUCAGACACACGUCUGCAUGUUUGUGUACCUGCGUGUGUGUGGAUGCAUGUUCAGAGCUGGAUCCAAGCACCCUCCAGGGUAAUUCAGAUACUGCAGCUGACCAUCCAAGAGCAGCCAAGGGGAUAAACCACAGGGCCUAGAGCCCCCUGCUUUAAUUUACAACAUUUAGCCAGCAGCUUCCGGAAUAAUCCAGCCAGCCCUCCAGAUACAGCCCCGGAGACUCACAGACCUAAACUUGUGGUGGAGUCUGAGGCCCUGGGGAGGAAAAGCAGGGGCCUAAGAGGCAGGAAUGGAAAGCAGCCGGGAUCCGGAACCUCCUCACACAGUAGCCACUGGACGAGACCUUGGCACAGGUGUGGAUGGACAGAAAGCUGGAGAGAAACAGCAGGUUUCUCCAUCCAUGACCUGGAGAGAGCCCUCCAAAAUGUCCACGACACUCUCCCCCGUCAAGGAGGGUCCAGCCUGAGUACCCUGGGUGAAUCAGAGCUGCAGCUGCUCUCCAUGCACCUGCCUGCAGCCCCCAUAGGAACCUCAGUCACAGAGCAGUUUUCAGCACUUGUGGAUGUGUGAUGAUCCCUGAGCAGGGAACUGAAGAGACUUCCACCCACAUGUCUUUGACCAAAUCUGAAGAUGAGAAUAUCUGCUAAGCAAGGCUCCGGAGAGGACUCCCAAGGUCACGUGUGCGGGUCUAUCGGUACCUUGAACAUCUAAUGAGCGCUCAGUAACUGUCUGCUGAAUGGACAGAGGAUUGUCCAGGUUCAUCUAUGUAUCCCUUCAUGAGACCCCAAAGAUGCAGGGGGACAGAUAUCCUUUCUGGGACUCUUAGAAGUCUUAGAACCUGACAGCUGGCUUUGCAACUUUAUGUCCUCAUCUGUGUAACAACCCUCAGCCCCCUCGACAGAGAGCAGUCCCCUCCCAGACACUGAGGCAGAGUUUAUCUAGUAAAAGCAGUCAGGAAAAUAAACUUACCUAGGGGAGGGGGGAGGCGUGGAGGGCCACAGCUUGUGCUGCGGAAAGGAAUGUUCUCGUCGCCCCACAUCUGCACCGCACAUUUAGCCUGGGUGGAUGUUUGCACCUCUGGGUCUGACCUCGGCAAGACCCUGAGCGGCUCAGCUUGUGAGUCUGCCAAGAAACAAUCUCUAGCCUCCCUUGACAUCCCGCUGGAAGCAAGAGCCUUAAGCCUUAUGCUCAAAUCCUAGUCUAGA